UAUCGCCCCAGGCUCCGUGCCAAUUCUCUCCAGAGCAGCCCCGACCUCCACCCUCCCCCAAUUCCUGCACAUCGAGAGCUCUCGCUGACAUCUCAAAAAAAAAAAAAAAAAAAGAGAGCUCUCGCUGACCCUGCCCGUUCCGGCGACCGGCGGUGCCCUCAGCAGCCCCUAGCAGAUCCCUGCUUCGCGCGGAUUCCAGUGUCGGCCUGCCGUUCUGCUCCCCCUACAGCUACCCCACACAUCCAUCUCCGAAGAUCUGCCGGAGGAGCUCUCCACUUACCGACGGCCGGCGGCGCCCCGCAGUCCCCUGCAUCGAGCGGAUGCCCGUGGUGCCCUGCUGUUUCUCUCAGCAUCCACAUACCAAGCAGACGCCUCCUCCCUAUCCUCCACGCCUCCAUCCCCUCAACCUGCCACUCGUCCCUGCCCAGUCCGGUUGCGCGCGGCGCCGCUGCCCCUGCCCACCCCUUCCGGCGCGAGCCCUUCGCUCCGUCCCUGCGCCGACAGGGGAUGGAUCCACGCUGGACCAGCCGCUGGUGGCCUGACAGGUAGGGGUCAGUGGCAGGGCCUGGUCGGCGUCAGGAGCCAGACCAUCAGAGAUAGGAGCACCGUGCUGCCCCUCCUCCGGCGACCUGUGGCGCCUUCUACUCCAGCAACGAUUGAUCUACAAGGAGCAGCAACACUUGAAGAAGCUCAUGCCGUUGCAAGGCCAAGGAAGAAGAGUAAGGAGCUGCAUUCCUUCACAUGUAGCUAUGAUGUAAUGGUUAACCAUCCAAAGUACAGUUUCAGUGUGAUCUAAUGUUUAAGCAAUAUUUUAAGAAUUCAGAGUUAUUGUGGUUUGCGCUGUAGCGAGCAGCCGCAACCCCUGACUUUAAAUUGUGGUUAGCGCUUGUUCCAUCUAUUAUUGUUGAACUCGUUUGGUGCGAUGCUGUAAACAUUGGUUCAAUGAAAUCCGAUAAACCGAAUUACGAUGA
Lolium perenne is the source of this 971-nucleotide long non-coding RNA. RefSeq lists it as uncharacterized. The record is from RefSeq and is a predicted model, not a curated record. NCBI's taxonomy places the organism in Eukaryota, Viridiplantae, Streptophyta, Magnoliopsida, Poales, Poaceae.